GUGGGGAAUAUUGGACAAUGGGGGGAACCCUGAUCCAGCCAUGCCGCGUGUGUGAAGAAGGCCUUUUGGUUGUAAAGCACUUUAAGCGAGGAGGAGGCUACUCUAGUUAAUACCUAGGGAUAGUGGACGUUACUCGCAGAAUAAGCACCGGCUAACUCUGUGCCAGCAGCCGCGGUAAUACAGAGGGUGCGAGCGUUAAUCGGAUUUACUGGGCGUAAAGCGUGCGUAGGCGGCUUUUUAAGUCGGAUGUGAAAUCCCUGAGCUUAACUUAGGAAUUGCAUUCGAUACUGGGAAGCUAGAGUAUGGGAGAGGAUGGUAGAAUUCCAGGUGUAGCGGUGAAAUGCGUAGAGAUCUGGAGGAAUACCGAUGGCGAAGGCAGCCAUCUGGCCUAAUACUGACGCUGAGGUACGAAAGCAUGGGGAGCAAACAGGAUUAGAUACCCCUGUAGUAC
This 451-nucleotide ribosomal RNA is filed under the name uncultured bacterium. Its description in RNAcentral is "partial 16S ribosomal RNA". It matches the Rfam family "Bacterial small subunit ribosomal RNA", at positions 354 to 796 of the family's 1533-position model. The record is from RNAcentral.